This 548-nucleotide ribosomal RNA is filed under the name Gordonia sp. SoCp. RNAcentral's name for it is "partial 16S ribosomal RNA". It matches the Rfam family "Bacterial small subunit ribosomal RNA", at positions 959 to 1533 of the family's 1533-position model. The record is from RNAcentral. Lineage: Bacteria; Bacillati; Actinomycetota; Actinomycetes; Mycobacteriales; Gordoniaceae.
UCGAGAAGAACCUCUCAUGGGUUUCACAAAAAAAAAAAAGAUGGAGAGAUAAAGCCCCCUUGGGGGUUGGUGCACAUAUGGCUUAUGGGUGUUGUCAUCUCGUGUUGAGAGUUUGUGGGAUAUUUCGCGAAAAGUGCGCAAACUUUGUCGUGUAUCCCCAGGGGGUUAUGGGGGGGACUCGCAGGAGACUGCCGGGGUCAACUUAGAGAAAGGGGGGGAUGACGACAAGUUCUCAUGCCCUUUAUGUCCAGGCUUUCACACAUGGCACUAUGGGUGGUACAGAGGGGUGCGAUACCGUGAGGGGGAGCGAAUCCUUUAAACCCAGUCUCAGUUGGGAGUGGUGUGUACAACUCGACCACAAGAAGUGGGAGUCGAUAGUAAUCGCAGAUCAGCAACGGUGCGGAGAAUAUGUUCCCGGGCUUUGUACACCCCCCCCGUCAUGUCGAGAAAGUCGGUAACCCCAGAAGCCGGUGGUCUAACCCUUGUGGAGGGAGCUGUCGAAGGUGGGAUCGGUGAUCGGGGCUAAGUCGUAAUAGUUUAGCUCCUUU